This 253-nucleotide ribosomal RNA is filed under the name uncultured bacterium. RNAcentral describes it as "partial 16S ribosomal RNA". It matches the Rfam family "Bacterial small subunit ribosomal RNA", at positions 524 to 776 of the family's 1533-position model. The record is from RNAcentral.
UACGUAGGGUGCAAGCGUUGUCCGGAAUUAUUGGGCGUAAAGAGCUCGUAGGCGGUUUGUCGCGUCUGCCGUGAAAGUCCGGGGCUCAACUCCGGAUCUGCGGUGGGUACGGGCAGACUAGAGUGAUGUAGGGGAGACUGGAAUUCCUGGUGUAGCGGUGAAAUGCGCAGAUAUCAGGAGGAACACCGGUGGCGAAGGCGGCAUCCUGGACCGACACUGACGCUGAGGAGCGAAAGCCAGGGGAGCAAACGGG